GACUAACGCUGGCGGCGCGCAUAAGCUUAUGCAAGUCGUGCGAUUAAAGCUCCCCUCGGGGAGUGUAUAAAGCGGCGAACGGGUGAGUAACACGUGGGCAACCUGCCCGUCGGUAUGGGAUAACCCGCCGAAAGGCGGGCUAAUACCGUAUACGGUCCCCAGACGACAUCGGCUGGGGAAGAAAGCCGGCCUCUGCUUGCAAGCCGGCGCCGACGGAUGGGCCCGCGGGCUAUUAGCUUGUUGGUGGGGUAACGGCCUACCAAGGCGAUGAUGGCUAGCCGGCCUGAGAGGGCGUACGGCCACACAGGGACUGAGACAAGGCCCUGUCCCCUACGGGAGGCGCAGGCGGGAAUCGUUCACAAUGGGCGCAAGCCUGAUGACGCGACGCCGCGUGAGGGAUGAAGGCUUUCGGGUUGUAAACCUCUGCCGGGAGANANAAAGACGGGCGGCCAAUACCCGCCCGAGCUGACGUUAUCUCCCAAGAAAGCCUCGGCUAACUACGUGCCAGCAGCCGCGGUAACACGUANGANGCAAGCGUUGUCCGGAAUUACUGGGCGUAAAGGGUGUGUAGGCGGGACGGUAAGUCGGGCGUGAAAUCCCACGGCUCAACCGUGGAACUGCGCUCGAUACUGCCGGCCUCGAGUACGGGAUAGGAGAGUGGAACUCACGGUGUAGCGGUAAAAUGCGUAGAUNUCGUGAGGAACACCGUUGGCGAAGGCGGCUCUCUGGCCCGAUACUGACGCUGAGACACGAAAGCCAGGGUAGCGAACGGGAUUAGAUACCCCGGUAGUCCUGGCCGUAAACGAUGGGCACUAGGUGUGGGAGGCAUCGACCCUUUCCGUGCCGAAGCUAACGCAUUAAGUGCCCCGCCUGGGGAGUACGAUCGCAAGGUUGAAACUCAAAGGAAUUGACGGGGGCCCGCACAAACGGUGGAGCAUGUGGUUCAAUUCGAUGCAACGCGAAGAACCUUACCUGGGCUUGACAUCGCCGGAAAACCCCACGAAAGUGGGACUGGAAGCUUGCUUCCGCCGGUGACAGGUGCUGCAUGGCUGUCGUCAGCUCGUGUCGUGAGAUGUUGGGUUAAGUCCCGCAACGAGCGCAACCCUCGUCGCUAGUUGCCAGCGGUUCGGCCGGGAACUCUAGCGAGACUGCCGGCGUUAAGCCGGAGGAAGGCGGGGAUGACGUCAAGUCCUCAUGGCCUUUAUGCCCAGGGCUACACACGUGCUACAAUGGCCGGCACAGAGGGUAGCAAGACCGCGAGGUGGAGCCAAUCCCUAAAGCCGGCCCCAGUUCGGAUCGGAGUCUGCAACUCGACUCCGUGAAGUCGGAAUCGUUAGUAAUCGCGGAUCAGCAGGCCGCGGUGAAUACGUUCCCGGGCCUUGUACACACCGCCCGUCACACCAUCCGAGUCGGGUGCACCCGAAGUCGCUGCUCUAACCCCUCGGGGAAGAAGGCGCCGAAGGUGUGUUCGGUAAGGAGGGUGAAG
RNAcentral lists this ribosomal RNA (1486 nucleotides) under uncultured bacterium. Its description in RNAcentral is "bacterial SSU rRNA". It matches the Rfam family "Bacterial small subunit ribosomal RNA". The record is from RNAcentral.